UUUGAAGUGUGGACGCCAGUCUGCAUGGAGCCGACCUUGAAAUACCACCCUUUAAUGUUUGAUGUUCUAACGUUGACCCGUAAUCCGGGUUGCGGACAGUGUCUGGUGGGUAGUUUGACUGGGGCGGUCUCCUCCUAAAGAGUAACGGAGGAGCACGAAGGUUGGCUAAUCCUGGUCGGACAUCAGGAGGUUAGUGCAAUGGCAUAAGCCAGCUUGACUGCGAGCGUGACGGCGCGAGCAGGUGCGAAAGCAGGUCAUAGUGAUCCGGUGGUUCUGAAUGGAAGGGCCAUCGCUCAACGGAUAAAAGGUACUCCGGGGAUAACAGGCUGAUACCGCCCAAGAGUUCAUAUCGACGGCGGUGUUUGGCACCUCGAUGUCGGCUCAUCACAUCCUGGGGCUGAAGUAGGUCCCAAGGGUAUGGCUGUUCGCCAUUUAAAGUGGUACGCGAGCUGGGUUUAGAACGUCGUGAGACAGUUCGGUCCCUAUCUGCCGUGGGCGCUGGAGAACUGAGGGGGGCUGCUCCUAGUACGAGAGGACCGGAGUGGACGCAUCACUGGUGUUCGGGUUGUCAUGCCAAUGGCACUGCCCGGUAGCUAAAUGCGGAAGAGAUAAGUGCUGAAAGCAUCUAAGCACGAAACUUGCCCCGAGAUGAGUUCUCCCUGACUCCUUGAGAGUCCUGAAGGAACGUUGAAGACGACGACGUUGAUAGGCCGGGUGUGUAAGCGCAGCGAUGCGUUGAGCUAACCGGUACUAAUGAACCGUGAGG
This 766-nucleotide ribosomal RNA is filed under the name Escherichia coli. RNAcentral's name for it is "partial 23S ribosomal RNA". It matches the Rfam family "Bacterial large subunit ribosomal RNA", at positions 2156 to 2916 of the family's 2925-position model. The record is from RNAcentral. Lineage: Bacteria; Pseudomonadati; Pseudomonadota; Gammaproteobacteria; Enterobacterales; Enterobacteriaceae.